This 387-nucleotide ribosomal RNA is filed under the name uncultured bacterium. RNAcentral describes it as "bacterial SSU rRNA". It matches the Rfam family "Bacterial small subunit ribosomal RNA", at positions 28 to 416 of the family's 1533-position model. The record is from RNAcentral.
GACGAACGCUGGCGGCGUGCUUAACACAUGCAAGUCGAGCGGAAAGGCCCUUUCGGGGGUACUCGAGCGGCGAACGGGUGAGUAACACGUGAGUAAUCUGCCCUUGGCUUUGGGAUAACUACCGGAAACGGUGGCUAAUACCGGAUACGACGUACUCAGGCAUCUGAUGUGCGUGGAAAGUUUUUUCGGCCAGGGAUGUGCUCGCGGCCUAUCAGCUUGUUGGUGGGGUAAUGGCCUACCAAGGCUUCGACGGGUAGCCGGCCUGAGAGGGUGACCGGCCACACUGGGACUGAGACACGGGCCCAGACUCCUACGGGAGGCAGCAGUGGGGAAUAUUGGACAAUGGGCGAAGCCUGAUCCAGCAACGCCGCGUGAGGGAUGACGGCC